CCAAAAUAUAUCAAAUUUUAUUUCAACAAAGUUACAUGCUUCAUACAAAUGUGAUUUGCAAACUCUUCUUAUUAGCAAAGAAAGUAAAUAAACAAGCGCACAUAUUAUGCAAAAACAUGCUCCAACCAUCUGCUCCAGUUUCCAGUGUGACAAUUGGGCUAUGAAUUUACCCUAAGAUAGUUAAUUUUACAUUUCCUGUGUCAUUAGCUUCAUCCAUCUUAUGGACGAUAAGACUUGGUGACCAAACACAAACUGUUUUUUCUCCCAACUGUUGCACCAUAGUUCUCGUUCAUGUCAAAAUUUUCCGGGGUAAUGCCAUCCGGAAGUUUCCAGUCGAAGUGAUAGAGGAGUCGAGCUAAAAUCAGCUCGAGACUGGCUACGACAAAUGAAAUUCCCGGACAAAUCCUCCUGCCAGAACCAAAUGGUAUUAACUCAAAGUCAUUUCCUUUGUAGUUAAUCGAAACUUUGCUAAAUCUUUCAGGUUCAAAAUGUUGGAAUAAUUAAUAAUUUCAUAUGUGGGCUUCACAUUCGAUUGUAAAAUUUUACGGGUUAGAUAUAUGGCUCAUAAUGAUAUUUGUGUUUGGGCCAAAUUUAUUAAUUGAUCAAUUGGGCUUUUUAC
Molecule: long non-coding RNA, 619 nt
Filed under: Olea europaea subsp. europaea
Lineage: Eukaryota; Viridiplantae; Streptophyta; Magnoliopsida; Lamiales; Oleaceae
Source: RNAcentral